CAUUCCCCACGCCCGGCUGGCCCACCGCUCAGCCCUGACACCCAACACCUAGCAAGAACCCUGCCUUUCGGCAUGCCCAGGUUGUUUUUCUUCCCCUCUCCACAGCCACUUGACUUCUUGGAAAGGAGCAAAACAGUUGUGAAAGCUGAGAAGAAUCUAUCUACACCUUCCCUUGUUACAGUGCUGGGCAACAGGGAGCUCCUUAGCAUGCAGAGGGAAAGAGUAGCUAUCUUGGAUUCAGAGUUGUAUGGAGAUGGCCCAGCAAAUGAACAAACCACACAGCGUAUAAAUACCAUGUAUAUUAAGUCAGAUUCAAAGAAGGACUGAAGAAAUUUGGCUGGAUUCACAGAUAGACAAAUUUCCCAGCAACAGAUUCAUUGUUUGUGACAUCUCUAAAUCUCUCAGGUGAUGUGAACUUCAAAGCAUCAAUGACACCAUGAUGAUUUCAGUAUGCUGUAAGACCUGGAGCUGUUGAAGGAAUUAAUGUUUUUUCAAAUCUUUAAGUAUUUCUUUUCUUUAAAGGAAAGAACAAUUCUGGAAAAUAUUUUGCAGAUUUUUCAUUUAAAAUAACUUCUUUUAACAGCUAAUUGCUCCACCUUUGUCUAGGACUACCAAGGCUCUUCUAUUCCUUGAGAAAGAAAAAUUCUUCAGAUCACACUUAUGGUGUAUUUAUCCAUAUAUAAUAAUAAAAUUCAUGUUUUCUAUUGGUUAGAAACCAUUGCUUUCAGGAAAUAUUCCUGCUGACUAGCUCAUUCAGGGGAAUAGUUAAAGAAAACAUUUCUUAAAUAUGAUUAAUAAAUCAACAUAGAAACAUUUUUUCUUGGCUCUAUUUACUACUGGAAAUGGUAAAAAAUCAAGGAAAAGGUUUUACAUAGAGAAGCUUUCCAUUUUCUCCCAAGCGAUCCAAAACAAACUGCUCCAUUUUGUUUAGUCAUGCAAUACCUACUGCUCCAGCAACAGUGACCCAACCUGAUUCAACAGAUCACCAGCUGGGCCUCUGCGGGGGACCUUUUGAACUCAGUUUUAUGGUAGCGCUCUGCCCCAAGCACUACUCUGAACUACGACAGGGCCUCUCUCCCUGGGCUUCUUCAAGAAUACUUCUGAAAGCUCUCGUUUACUUCUGCACCAGAACAAAAGACAAAUUAGAACCCUUGGAAAUGUUCACAAAAUUAAAUUAUUUUCCAGCCUGUCCCACCCAGCAUGGUGCAAGAGAAGCCUGUGCCCUUGCAGGACAUUAAUAUCUUCUCAUUUUAUUCUCAUUCCAAGCCAGUCAAUCUCAUAAUGCUUUUGAUGUAAGUUCUAGUGGACUGCAUGUCAAGUAGAGGACAUUAUCCCAGUAGCUGUACAGUGAUUAUCUGGGCUACCGCAGUUAUUUCUGAAUGAAAGUACUGGUAAAAUGCCAAAUGUUUUCAGAGAUCACUGUUGUGCUUGCUAAAUUACUGGGUUUUCUGGUGAGUCCUAGGGCUGUAUACAUAUAUUAGCAAAACAAAACAACAUUUAGUAACAAGUAGAAGUUCACUAGGUCACACACUGUCAAAUCCAACCCUGAAAAGAACACAGAUCCUGUUUUUUAACUCUUCAGUGUGACUAACACUCUCCACAUCUCCCUUGAUACAGCACGUUUCUUAAACGUCCCAUUUUCGGGUAUUAAAAGGAACAUAGACCACAGCUUUUUAGACCUCACCCCAAACUUUUAAUGAUGGUGUCAUACAUGCUUUACGUUAACAGACCUGUACAUAUCUACAUUUCCUUUGUUCUGAGCAUUUGGAAGUUAAUAAACUUUAAAUUCGUUACAGAAUAUUGAAUAGACUGAGGAUUUUGAAUGAGAAUGAGAUUCUGAUAAAAAAAGAAAAAUGUUUACUUUUCAAAUGUCUGUACCAUAUCUGGCAUACCUAAUAUUAUUUAGCUCAUACUCACUCAUACACUCUUUGUUUCA
Non-coding RNA from Phalacrocorax carbo (great cormorant), 1936 nucleotides. The record is from RefSeq and is a predicted model, not a curated record. NCBI's taxonomy places the organism in Eukaryota, Metazoa, Chordata, Aves, Suliformes, Phalacrocoracidae.